RNAcentral lists this ribosomal RNA (925 nucleotides) under uncultured organism. RNAcentral describes it as "bacterial SSU rRNA". It matches the Rfam family "Bacterial small subunit ribosomal RNA", at positions 1 to 917 of the family's 1533-position model. The record is from RNAcentral.
UUGGAUCCAGACUUUGAUCCUGGCUCAGGAUGAACGCUAGCUACAGGCUUAACACAUGCAAGUCGAGGGGCAGCGGGAUUGAAGCUUGCUUCAAUUGCCGGCGACCGGCGCACGGGUGAGUAACGCGUAUCCAACCUUCCGUACACUCAGGGAUAGCCUUUCGAAAGAAAGAUUAAUACCUGAUAGUAUCUUAAGCACACAUGUAAUUAAGAUUAAAGAUUUAUCGGUGUACGAUGGGGAUGCGUUCCAUUAGGUAGUAGGCGGGGUAACGGCCCACCUAGCCAACGAUGGAUAGGGGUUCUGAGAGGAAGGUCCCCCACAUUGGAACUGAGACACGGUCCAAACUCCUACGGGAGGCAGCAGUGAGGAAUAUUGGUCAAUGGACGAGAGUCUGAACCAGCCAAGUAGCGUGAAGGAUGAAGGUCCUACGGAUUGUAAACUUCUUUUAUAAGGGAAUAAACCCUCCCACGUGUGGGAGCUUGUAUGUACCUUAUGAAUAAGCAUCGGCUAACUCCGUGCCAGCAGCCGCGGUAAUACGGAGGAUGCGAGCGUUAUCCGGAUUUAUUGGGUUUAAAGGGAGCGCAGACGGGUCGUUAAGUCAGCUGUGAAAGUUUGGGGCUCAACCUUAAAAUUGCAGUUGAUACCGGCGUCCUUGAGUGCGGUUGAGGUGUGCGGAAUUCGUGGUGUAGCGGUGAAAUGCUUAGAUACCACGAAGAACUCCGAUUGCGAAGGCAGCACACUAAUCCGUAACUGACGUUCAUGCUCGAAAGUGUGGGUAUCAAACAGGAUUAGAUACCCUGGUAGUCCACACGGUAAACGAUGGAUACUCGCUGUUGGCGAUAUACUGUCAGCGGCUUAGCGAAAGCGUUAAGUAUCCCACCUGGGGAGUACGCCGGCAACGGUGCAACUCAAAUGAAUUGACGGA